Molecule: long non-coding RNA, 1639 nt
Organism: Manis pentadactyla (Chinese pangolin)
Lineage: Eukaryota; Metazoa; Chordata; Mammalia; Pholidota; Manidae
Exons: 5
Source: RefSeq, a predicted model, not a curated record
UGGUUGAACUGAAGCCACAAAAUUAGCAUUUUACUAAUCAUUAGAUUUAAAUAGCUGUGUAGAAAGAGAUCAGCCAUCAUCCUGAUCAGCAAUCCAGCUUGCUUCCUCUUCCCAUUCUUGGGUUCAAGGCCUGGGAAAUCAUGAAGCUUCUUAUCCUUACCUGCCUUGUAGUGGCUGCUCUUGCCAGGCCUAAAUUUUCUGGUAGUAGACACCCAGAACUCAUUCAAAAUGAACCAGACAGCAGAGAGGAAACCCUCAAAGAAAGACAGUUUUCCAGGUUUGUUCUGGUGAGUGUUAUCCACUUAUUCUUAAAAUGCAAACAUAUUUUUCCAAGAAAAUUAAUUUAAAUUUAGCUUAUAAAUGUUUUUUCACUCAACUUGAUUAAACUUUCCCUUCAUUCAGUCACCCAGGCACCCACAAAGAAUAUUGAAAACACAUAUGCAAAUAUUAAAGAGCUGCUUUAAAUUCGAAUUUUGUACUUUUGCCUUUUUGCACAACACUUGUGCUUUCCUUUGCAUAAUCUAUGUAGAACAAACAACUUCCAUGCUCAUUAAGAUGGAAUGUUCUCUAUCUCUAAAUAAUAACCCAUAUAUGUUGUGUAAUUUUGUGACUUUAUUGUCAAAUAGAACACAAAUAGGAAUUUCACUUCAAGGACACUAUUUCAAAGAUUUGGGGCAACCCAAUUUUGCCUGAAUGAUUUUUAAUAUCUUUCUUUCUUUCUUCCUUUUUUUUUUGUAGCCUACAGGAAGAGAAUUAAAAGAGGUAAGAAAGUCUCAAGAUUACUAUAGGGUGAACAAAGGGAGGCAAGUGUAGUGCUUGCUCAGUCAGUGUUGUGCUGUCCAAUUCUUUAUUGUCUUUUUACGGAAAAAGCCACUAGAUGUAUUGAACCAAACAGAUGAGAUCCAGAGAACUCAGAACGAUGACUAAAACAAAAUGAAAGAUAAUAAUAAUAAUAAAAUUUAGUGGAAAAAAAUUUUUUAAUAUUCUAAGUGGACAUUUACAUAUAGUUUAAGCAAAGAAAGCUUAGUGAAGAGACAACGUUAGAAAUGAUAGAGCAAGCAAUAUUAGUGCAUUCAAGAAAAAUAUAUUUGUUUUUUAACUUGGAGCAGCACAGUGUAAGGCAAACUAUCUCAUAAAUUUUCAUUCCUUUAUGUCUCUCUUCACUAAUGUUGUUUUUCUGCUCUAUUCCUAAGGAAUACCACAAUGAAAUGAACAGGGUAAGGAACACCAACGAUAUUUAAAUUAUUUUAAAAUUUGUCUUUUCAAAAGUAUAUUUUACAAGCUAUACUGUAUUCUUUUUAGCAGAGAGAACUUCUGAGAGAAAAACAAGAAAAACAGAGUGAUGAAAUCAAGGUACCAAAAAUUUUCUUAAAAUACUAUGGCAAAAAAAAUGUAUUCUUGCACUAAAAGAAGUGUUUUAAUUUAGAAAACAUAUUUUUUCUGUGGCAUUUAUAAUUUCCUUGAACUUUUCAGACAUUCAAAUGGCCAGUGAAUUCUGUUGAGAGUUCUAAAGAAUACUGAUUUCAUUGACUUAACUUUGUAGCUAUGAGGAGAUAAGGCAUUAAAAUGAAUGAAUGAAUGAAUGAAAUUAUGGAUUGGCCAAUUGUUUGCAUUUAUCACCAAAGUUGAUGGAAUGCUU